Molecule: unclassified non-coding RNA, 351 nt
Filed under: uncultured fungus
Lineage: Eukaryota; Fungi
Description: sequence contains ITS1
Rfam family: 5.8S ribosomal RNA (bases 1-107)
Source: RNAcentral
GAAAUGCGAUAAGUAAUGUGAAUUGCAGAAUCCCGUGAACCAUCGAGUCUUUGAACGCAAGUUGCGCCCGAAGCCCUCGUGGCCAGGGCACGUCUGCCUGGGUGUCACGCAUCGCGUCGCCCCAGCCCCCCCGCGGGGGGGCGAGGGGCGGAGAAUGGCCCCCCGUGCGUCACGGCGCGCGGCCGGCCUAAACGCAGGCCCCUUGGGCGCGAGAGGGCGCGACGACUGGUGGUGUGCGCGCGGCCCCGUGCCGCCGAGCAUCGCGUCGCGUCUUGCGCGGUCAGCGGGCGAUGGAAGGAGCCCCGAAACCGUUGCGACCCCAGAUCAGGCGGGACCACCCGCUGAGUUUAA